AUUGAACGCUGGCGGCAUGCCUUACACAUGCAAGUCGAACGGCAGCACGGGAGCAAUCCUGGUGGCGAGUGGCGAACGGGUGAGUAAUAUAUCGGAACGUGCCCGGUCGUGGGGGAUAACGUAGCGAAAGCUACGCUAAUACCGCAUACGAUCUACGGAUGAAAGCGGGGGGAUCGCAAGACCUCGCGCGAUUGGAGCGGCCGAUAUCAGAUUAGGUAGUUGGUGAGGUAAAGGCUCACCAAGCCGACGAUCUGUAGCUGGUCUGAGAGGACGACCAGCCACACUGGGACUGAGACACGGCCCAGACUCCUACGGGAGGCAGCAGUGGGGAAUUUUGGACAAUGGGCGCAAGCCUGAUCCAGCAAUGCCGCGUGCAGGAUGAAGGCCUUCGGUUGUAAC
This 399-nucleotide ribosomal RNA is filed under the name uncultured bacterium. RNAcentral's name for it is "bacterial SSU rRNA". It matches the Rfam family "Bacterial small subunit ribosomal RNA", at positions 30 to 429 of the family's 1533-position model. The record is from RNAcentral.